Long non-coding RNA from Anguilla rostrata (American eel), 298 nucleotides. RefSeq lists it as uncharacterized. Lineage: Eukaryota; Metazoa; Chordata; Actinopteri; Anguilliformes; Anguillidae. The record is from RefSeq and is a predicted model, not a curated record. The transcript has 2 exons.
GUGCGUGUGCAUGAGUGUGAGAGAGAAAGGGUGUGUGUGAGAGUAUGUGUGUGUGGAUGUGUGUGUGUAGGUGUGGGUGUGUGUGUCUAUUGUGUGUGGUGUGUGUGUGUGAGUGGGUAUAUGAAUGUGGUGUGUGUGUGUGUGUACAUGAUUGUAUGUAUUUGUGUGUGUGUGCAUGUGUGCGAGUGUGUAUGCGCACGUGUGUGUGUGUGUGUGUAUGCGUGUGUGUGCACGUGCAUGUUUCUGUGUGUGUGUGUGUCUACUCCAGUUGGCAGAGGGACACUGAGGCGUCAUACAC